AUCAAGUUGACAGCACCUUCAGGACGCCAUAGUAAUAAUAUGUGAAGAGCAACUUUCUGACUGCGACUGACAGCUGACACCGCUCACAAGGCUGCUGGACAAGAUAUUUACAUCCACAGUGAUCUUCACCUUAUCUUGGAAAUUAAGGACUGGAUUGGCCUCGGACCGGCUUUAGUAUCCUGGUGAAGGAAUGUUGGAGUACGAUGAACUUUAUCCAAAGUCAGCGGGGAGGAGAAAUUCUCCUUGCCGAGGAGAGAGGGGAUCCGCUGCAACAUGAAGCCCAUGAUAUCCUGGCCCUCGGCUUUUUCAGGAACAUACAGGAAUCGGAGAUUGUAUGCCCGGCUUCGGUUUUCGGCUUCAUCAACCUUUUCCCUGAGGAGCGCAGUUGGUUACAGUGUGGGCUCCAUGCUUACUCUGACUUGAUGCUUGCCAUACCAUCACAGAGGGGCAGAGCUUUGUGAAGAGUCAAUUGGAAGCUCAUUUCUUGAUGAGAUUGAUCUGGUUUGAAGGCUCCUCCAAUGUGUUCCUGGAGCAGCAGCGGCCCUGUCCCUGUUUUAAGUUAAGUGAUGGCAGGCACCCAUAAAUGACACCAAGGGAGCUGUAAGUAACAUAGAGCUGAAGAUUGUUAACCAGAAUCAGCUGGUAAAAAGGUCACACUAAAAUAAAAAUAUGUACUGGGAAACCUCCAAGGUUCUGUGUCAUGUAAAAACAUGACUUUAUCACCAUGGAUGUCCAUGACCCCAACUUCACCCAGUGUUGAACUACAGUAAAUCCUCCUUUCACCAGCAGAUGUCGCCAUUCCACCCUUUCCUUCACCCUCCCUGCUCUCACAUACCUACAAACAUGCCAUUGAUAAAAGAAUGUUUACAGUUUACAGUUACCCACAAUCCUGAGCAGUGUGUGUUGAUAUCAGAGGGCUCAUUUUACACACAGCCUGCACGAAAACUGCUGCUGCAGAGGCAUGGAUAUUUCCUUUACUGACCCUAAUCCAUCCACGUGGGGGGAUUUAUUGUUGGCUUGUCAGAAUAUGAUAAGCCAAAAUGGUGUAUUUCAA
Epinephelus lanceolatus (giant grouper) is the source of this 1054-nucleotide non-coding RNA. NCBI's taxonomy places the organism in Eukaryota, Metazoa, Chordata, Actinopteri, Perciformes, Serranidae. The record is from RefSeq and is a predicted model, not a curated record.